Molecule: ribosomal RNA, 465 nt
Filed under: Vreelandella stevensii
Lineage: Bacteria; Pseudomonadati; Pseudomonadota; Gammaproteobacteria; Oceanospirillales; Halomonadaceae
Description: partial 16S ribosomal RNA
Rfam family: Bacterial small subunit ribosomal RNA
Source: RNAcentral
CCUACGGGAGGCAGCAGUGGGGAAUAUUGGACAAUGGGCGAAAGCCUGAUCCAGCCAUGCCGCGUGUGUGAAGAAGGCCUUCGGGUUGUAAAGCACUUUCAGUGGGGAAGAAAGCCUUGGGGCUAAUACCCUCGAGGAAGGACAUCACCCACAGAAGAAGCACCGGCUAACUCCGUGCCAGCAGCCGCGGUAAUACGGAGGGUGCGAGCGUUAAUCGGAAUUACUGGGCGUAAAGCGCGCGUAGGCGGUCUGAUAAGCCGGUUGUGAAAGCCCCGGGCUCAACCUGGGAACGGCAUCCGGAACUGUCAGGCUAGAGUGCAGGAGAGGAAGGUAGAAUUCCCGGUGUAGCGGUGAAAUGCGUAGAGAUCGGGAGGAAUACCAGUGGCGAAGGCGACCUUCUGGACUGACACUGACGCUGAGGUGCGAAAGCGUGGGUAGCAAACAGGAUUAGAUACCCGAGUAGUC